RNAcentral lists this ribosomal RNA (431 nucleotides) under uncultured bacterium. RNAcentral describes it as "partial 16S ribosomal RNA". It matches the Rfam family "Bacterial small subunit ribosomal RNA", at positions 29 to 507 of the family's 1533-position model. The record is from RNAcentral.
AACGAACGCUGGCGGCAGGCUUAACACAUGCAAGUCGAACGCCCCGCAAGGGGAGUGGCAGACGGGUGAGUAACGCGUGGGAACAUACCCUUUUCUACGGAAUAGCUCUGGGAAAUUGGAAUUAAUACCGUAUACGCCCUACGGGGGAAAGAUUUAUCGGGGAAGGAUUGGCCCGCGUUGGAUUAGCUAGUUGGUGGGGUAAAGGCCUACCAAGGCGACGAUCCAUAGCUGGUCUGAGAGGAUGAUCAGCCACAUUGGGACUGAGACACGGCCCAAACUCCUACGGGAGGCAGCAGUGGGGAAUAUUGGACAAUGGGCGCAAGCCUGAUCCAGCCAUGCCGCGUGAGUGAUGAAGGCCUUAGGGUUGUAAAGCUCUUUCACCGAUGAAGAUAAUGACGGUAGUCGGAGAAGAAGCCCCGGCUAACUUCGUG